RNAcentral lists this ribosomal RNA (442 nucleotides) under uncultured Flavobacterium sp. RNAcentral's name for it is "bacterial SSU rRNA". It matches the Rfam family "Bacterial small subunit ribosomal RNA", at positions 393 to 852 of the family's 1533-position model. The record is from RNAcentral. Lineage: Bacteria; Pseudomonadati; Bacteroidota; Flavobacteriia; Flavobacteriales; Flavobacteriaceae.
CAUGCCGCGUGCAGAAGCGGUCUAUGGAUUGUAAACUGCUUUUAUACAGGAAGAAACCCUCCCGUGUGGGAGCUUGCGGUACUGUAGGAAUAAGGAUCGGCUAACUCCGUGCCAGCAGCCGCGGUAAUACGGAGAUCCGAGCCCGAUCCGGAAUCUUGGGUUUAAAGGUCCGUAGGCGGUCUUACGAUAAGUCAGUGGUGAAAGCCCUCGCUCAACUAUGGACUGCCAUUGAUCUGUAAGACUUGAAUGCUUAGGAAGUAACUAGAAUAUGUAGUGUAGCGGUGAAAUGCUUAGAUAUUAUGGAAUACCAAUUGCGAAGGCAGGUUACUACUAAGUGAUUGACGCUGAUGGACGAAACGUGGGGAGCGACAGGUUAGAUACCCUGGUAGUCCACCCGUAAACGAUGGAUACUAGCUGUUCGGAGCAAUCUGAGUGGCUAAGC